Dipodomys spectabilis (banner-tailed kangaroo rat) is the source of this 115-nucleotide long non-coding RNA. RefSeq lists it as uncharacterized. NCBI's taxonomy places the organism in Eukaryota, Metazoa, Chordata, Mammalia, Rodentia, Heteromyidae. The transcript is spliced from 3 exons. The record is from RefSeq and is a predicted model, not a curated record.
AGCUGUAACUUGAAGGAAUCUCAAGCUUUGGAACUGAUGUUAGGUGUAAGAGGAGUACAGGAAGACUUCUAGUGAAAUUGUGAGCCUGGAUUACCACUAGGAAUUUUAGUAUGAA